RNAcentral lists this long non-coding RNA (1325 nucleotides) under Mytilus galloprovincialis (Mediterranean mussel). The record is from RNAcentral. Lineage: Eukaryota; Metazoa; Mollusca; Bivalvia; Mytilida; Mytilidae.
AAGUUUAAAGGAUUCUUAAUUUUUUGGACUUUUAUAUAUUAUUUUGUAUGGUUUACCUAAAAAAUCUAGUCUUCCAUUCAUUUAUUUUACAAAUGUAUAUAGUUCAAAAGAAGGGUGGGUGAUUCAUGUAUAUUUUAAUACUAGAUUAACUGCCAGCAUUAAAUAGUGUAUUAGUGGUGCUUGUUGUAUUUUGAAAUAUACCAUUUGAUAGCAAUUAUAAAAAAAUUAGAAGAUUCCAGUGAAAUCCUGGAACAAUUGUGUUAUGAUAAAAUAUGCCUUAAUCUUCAUGGUUACAUAUUAAAGUAAAAAGCCUGAACAUGACCUUUGGUAAUGUUUUUAUAUUGUUUCGAGUUAUUAGCAUUUUAAAAUAUAUUACCAUAUAUCCCUUUUAUGAUAUGCAUGACAAUCUUAUAUCAAAUGGUUUUGGUUUAUGGGGUAUGCAUCUAUAGGACAUAUCUUAUGGGAAUGGUUAUUUUGAUAUAAAUGCUUUAUACAUACAUUUGUGAAAAAUUUGAUUUAGGUAAGCAGUGCUUGUUUGUACAAAUGUAUCAAAAUUUAAGUAAAAUGUUAUUAUAGUAUCACUUAAAUUGAUUUUUGAAGGCAGCUCUUUGAACUUAAUAUACAAUCAGAUAAUCAUGCUUUAGAAAUGUAUUUUAGUAAGUUUUCCUAUAUGAUGAUUUUCAGUGGGGAUGUCUGAAAAAAAUGCAUAAGUUUUGGACUUUACAGCCCUACUUUAAAUGUAUUUGAAACAAUCCAAUAAUUAUGUUUUGAUUUUAAACUAUCUCCAGUUGUCCAGAAAACGAAUAGUAACACAAACUUUAUUGAUAUUAUCAUUGAUGACUUUAUAUACUGCACGAUUUUCAUUGAUUGUAUAACAAAUACAAUUUACCUGUAUUUGCUACUAUGUAUAUAAUAGUUGCAUUAUACAUAUGUUUAGUAAUUUCAAUACUGAUUAAUAAGUGACAUUUAUAUAUAAAAUUGUAUUGCUUCCUGACACUUGUUCCUGUGUGUUACACUUUUAAUGUGUAGUGUUACUGUGUUUGUACUUAUUUUUCCGUGUAAUUACUCCGUCAGGAUGUUGUGAAAAAUGAAUGCUGAUAUAGAUUGUUGUUGUUGCAUAAUAGCUGUAGACAAAUUUUUGUAGAUCAUAAACUUUUUUUUAUGCACAAAUUCAGGGAAAGCAUUGUAAAAGAGACAAAUGUGUUUGUUUUGAAGUUGAAAUUAUGUUAUUUUGAAUCUCACUUUAUAGUUUUGUAUAAUAAGAAUUCAUUACCGUAUACUUUUUGUUUAUAGUGCUAAACUGUUUGUUUUAUAUAAUAAUCAAG